ACCUAUCUAGCUCAGUCGGUAGAGCAUCAGAUUUCUAAUUUGAGGGUUCUGCAUUCAAAUCCUACCGUGGGUG
Molecule: transfer RNA, 73 nt
Filed under: Enterobius vermicularis (human pinworm)
Lineage: Eukaryota; Metazoa; Nematoda; Chromadorea; Rhabditida; Oxyuridae
Rfam family: tRNA
About the family: Transfer RNA (tRNA) molecules are approximately 80 nucleotides in length. Their secondary structure includes four short double-helical elements and three loops (D, anti-codon, and T loops). Further hydrogen bonds mediate the characteristic L-shaped molecular structure. tRNAs have two regions of fundamental functional importance: the anti-codon, which is responsible for specific mRNA codon recognition, and the 3' end, to which the tRNAs corresponding amino acid is attached (by aminoacyl-tRNA synthetases). tRNAs cope with the degeneracy of the genetic code in two manners: having more than one tRNA (with a specific anti-codon) for a particular amino acid; and 'wobble' base-pairing, i.e. permitting non-standard base-pairing at the 3rd anti-codon position.
Source: Rfam by way of RNAcentral